This 496-nucleotide ribosomal RNA is filed under the name uncultured bacterium. RNAcentral describes it as "partial 16S ribosomal RNA". It matches the Rfam family "Bacterial small subunit ribosomal RNA", at positions 28 to 506 of the family's 1533-position model. The record is from RNAcentral.
GAUGAACGCUGGCGGCGUGCCUAAUACAUGCAAGUCGAGCGAACAGACGAGGAGCUUGCUCCUCUGACGUUAGCGGCGGACGGGUGAGUAACACGUGGAUAACCUACCUAUAAGACUGGGAUAACUUCGGGAAACCGGAGCUAAUACCGGAUAAUAUAUUGAACCGCAUGGUUCAAUAGUGAAAGACGGUUUUGCUGUCACUUAUAGAUGGAUCCGCGCCGCAUUAGCUAGUCGGUAAGGUAACGGCUUACCAAGGCAACGAUGCGUAGCCGACCUGAGAGGGUGAUCGGCCACACUGGAACUGAGACACGGUCCAGACGCCUACGGGAGGCAGCAGUAGGGAAUCUUCCGCAAUGGGCGAAAGCCUGACGGAGCAACGCCGCGUGAGUGAUGAAGGUCUUCGGAUCGUAAAACUCUGUUAUUAGGGAAGAACAAAUGUGUAAGUAACUAUGCACGUCUUGACGGUACCUAAUCAGAAAGCCACGGCUAACUACGU